UGGGGAAUAUUGCACAAUGGGCGCAAGCCUGAUGCAGCCAUGCCGCGUGUAUGAAGAAGGCCUUCGGGUUGUAAAGUACUUUCAGCGGGGAGGAAGGGAGUAAAGUUAAUACCUUUGCUCAUUGACGUUACCCGCAGAAGAAGCACCGGCUAACUCCGUGCCAGCAGCCGCGGUAAUACGGAGGGUGCAAGCGUUAAUCGGAAUUACUGGGCGUAAAGCGCACGCAGGCGGUUUGUUAAGUCAGAUGUGAAAUCCCCGGGCUCAACCUGGGAACUGCAUCUGAUACUGGCAAGCCUGAGUCUCGUAGAGGGGGGUAGAAUUCCAGGUGUAGCGGUGAAAUGCGUAGAGAUCUGGAGGAAUACCGGUGGCGAAGGCGGCCCCCUGGACGAAGACUGACGCUCAGGUGCGAAAGCGUGGGGAGCAAACA
Molecule: ribosomal RNA, 427 nt
Filed under: uncultured bacterium
Lineage: Bacteria
Description: partial 16S ribosomal RNA
Rfam family: Bacterial small subunit ribosomal RNA
Source: RNAcentral